Ostrea edulis (European flat oyster) is the source of this 227-nucleotide long non-coding RNA. RefSeq lists it as uncharacterized. The record is from RefSeq and is a predicted model, not a curated record. NCBI's taxonomy places the organism in Eukaryota, Metazoa, Mollusca, Bivalvia, Ostreida, Ostreidae. The transcript is spliced from 2 exons.
CUGGUUGACAAUGGCGGUAAUCUCCCGGUGUAAGACUUCUCCUUGUUGAUCGGCGGCUGUUGUCAGUUUCCCGUAAUUCGUUUCUAACUCGGCUUUCUCACUUUGGACAUUAGACACCAUUUUUUCAUAUCGGGGAAUGAGUUGAGUGGAAUAAUGAACUUCCAGAUGUCUAUGUACACGUGUAUGAAUAAACUCUGUUGUACUCGCGCGUGCGAGCUUAUAUCCUA